AGAACGAACGCUGGCGGCAUGCCUAAUACAUGCAAGUCGAACGAAGGCUUCGGCCUUAGUGGCGCACGGGUGCGUAACGCGUGGGAAUCUGCCCCUUGGUUCGGAAUAGCAGUUGGAAACGACUGCUAAUACCGGAUGAUGACGAAAGUCCAAAGAUUUAUCGCCAAGGGAUGAGCCCGCGUAGGAUUAGCUAGUUGGUGAGGUAAAGGCUCACCAAGGCGACGAUCCUUAGCUGGUCUGAGAGGAUGAUCAGCCACACUGGGACUGAGACACGGCCCAGACUCCUACGGGA
Molecule: ribosomal RNA, 292 nt
Filed under: uncultured soil bacterium
Lineage: Bacteria
Description: partial 16S ribosomal RNA
Rfam family: Bacterial small subunit ribosomal RNA
Source: RNAcentral